AGUUGAAGGAAAUAAGGAAGAAGGGAGAACAUUUACUGAACAGCAACUCCAACACAGUCACGUAAGAAAUUAAUUUCUUUAGUCCUACUCAAAGAUAGCAAUUAUGAUUCUUCAGUCCCUCAUAUGUAAAAUACAAUUUUCUCAUCAAAUAUUUAAUAUUUUUCUGUUAAACUGAAUUUAAUACUAUCAGAACAAUUAACACAGCAAAACAGACUUUCAUUUGACCAUACAGCAUCACACAAUAUGCAACACAUUAUUUUCAGAUAUCUUUAUAUAAAAAAGGGUUGAUAUCAACAUUUUUAAUGACAGAUAAUAUACAAUAUUGAGUUAUAAACAUACAAGCAUAGUAAUAAUAGCUAAUCACCUUUUAUGUGCCAAGUUUCCAUCAAAUAGCCUUUUAUUCAAAAAUAGAAACACAAAAGUAGUUAUCUUUAAAAACUGCAUACAGAAGUUAUAAUCUGCAUUCUGUUUGCAGUAACUGAAUUGGAAUUUAAAAGGCAUUCUCAAGUCAGUCUCGGACAGCGCGCCUGCAGCCCAGCUGGAAAUGCUGUCCAGUUCAGUCACGCGCUGCUUGUGUUUUUGUGUGGUUCAUCAUGUGUUUAGAGGAUAUUCUCAGGGAAAAUCCGCGACAAUGAACUGACAUCAAGCACAUUCACUAUUAAACACAUUCAGCGUUACACAAAGUAGGCCUACAGCAACAGCUCAGUAUUGUGCUCAAACGUUUCAGUAAACACAAAUGUUGGUAAAACCGCGUGCAACAAACAAAUAGACACUAUCCCAUUCACUUGAACAACCUUUCAGUGUCAAUGCAAUCCGUUUCAGACUGGUAGCUACUGUCAGUGUUAAUCACUUCAUUCUAUAUUUUCAUUGCCAAUACAUCAUAAAAAAAGUCUUGUUUAAAAUGACUCCAUACAGGCGAUAUUUAGUGGCACCAAUUUCGCGACCCACGAACAGAUUGUGCAGACUAAAGCAAUAGGCUAGUUUAUUCAUUAAUCGCGUAAACAAAUCCCAUCACUGUAAGAGAGAUGGUUAACUCUUUAUCUUCAUUCCUAAUGAUAUAAAGUUGUCGCAUUGCAUUCCCUUACGCGUAAAGUUAUGAUAAACGCGGGUGAAUAAGCGCUCAAAUAACAGGCAGGGGACGUUUGUUGACGGCACGUCCCCUUGUUUAACCUCCAUACAUUUGAGUAACACACCACGUAUAGUCAUCUGAACAUACUGUAUGUCUGAAUGAGGCUCUGGAGCGUUUGGUUUAUCCAAGGCGAUACGUCAUUGCGAGCUGCAGCGAUUGGCUGGAUUCCGCUCCUUUUCCUCCACAAUUUGCAACCACGAUCGGUCUUCGCCUCCGGAGCAGCGACAUUUCACAGUAGAGAGUCUGGCGUAGCCACAGCUGAAGCCCCCCUUCCACUCAUCCUGGACGACGGAGUGGCUUACGAGGUCCGAGAAAUCCCGGAUUCCCGGCGCCAUGGUGGCCAACUUGAGUACCUAGUGGACUGGGAAGGUUAUGGUCCUGAGGAAUGUUCCUGGGUUCCACGCAACGACAUACUCGACCCGAAUUUACUGGACACCUUCCAUGCAACUCAUCCCGACAGACCUGCCCCUCGAGGAAGAGGAAGACCACCACG
Molecule: long non-coding RNA, 1622 nt
Organism: Cyprinus carpio carpio
Lineage: Eukaryota; Metazoa; Chordata; Actinopteri; Cypriniformes; Cyprinidae
Source: Ensembl